Molecule: ribosomal RNA, 377 nt
Filed under: uncultured bacterium
Lineage: Bacteria
Description: bacterial SSU rRNA
Rfam family: Bacterial small subunit ribosomal RNA
Source: RNAcentral
AUACGGAGGGUGCAAGCGUUGUUCGGAAUUAUUGGGCGUAAAGGGCGUGCAGGCGGUCUGUUAAGUCUGGUGUGCAAGCCCGGGGCUCAACCCCGGAAGUGCAUUGGAUACUGGCAGACUUGAGUAUGGAAGAGGAAAGCGGAAUUCCGAGUGUAGGAGUGAAAUCCGUAGAUAUUCGGAGGAACACCAGUGGCGAAGGCGGCUUUCUGGACCAAUACUGACGCUGAGACGCGAAAGCGUGGGUAGCAAACAGGAUUAGAUACCCUGGUAGUCCACGCUGUAAACGAUGGGUACUAGGUGUUGCGGGUAACCACUCCUGCAGUGCCGUAGCUAACGCAUUAAGUACCCCGCCUGGGGAGUACGGCCGCAAGGCUAAA